Molecule: unclassified non-coding RNA, 12389 nt
Filed under: Diabrotica virgifera virgifera (western corn rootworm)
Lineage: Eukaryota; Metazoa; Arthropoda; Insecta; Coleoptera; Chrysomelidae
Description: ankyrin-2
Source: RNAcentral
AACGUCAAACAACAGAGUUCAGACCUCUUAUUGAUUUAUUUUCAUUCUGCGCAAAUAAUAACAGAGUGGAAUUAAUAAAUAUUAUUAAUUGUCAUUUAAAACAAAUUGAACUAUUUAUACUGCAGUAAAUAUGGAAUAAUAGUGCCGUGGGGUAAAUAGAAGUGAGUGAAUAUCAUUUAUUUUAAAUGUUAAUAUUGGGAACACCUAUUGUUCCAGUGUGAGACAAGAUGUUUCUAAAUUUUUUUGUUAUCUUACAAAAGCGAUGGCAAUGAAUCUUCAUGGUUUAAACUGAACUAAAUAUAUAAAGCUUCUUAGGAAAAAAUGGGUGGACAAGUGAGUCAGGUGUUCCAAUCUGGUAGUGCUUUACUGACAAAUGGACAUGGUCACAAAGUUUCUGAUUCCACUAGACAAAAGGUGCAGACGAUAUUUGAUGCCCUCAGAGCUAAUCCCAAGAUUGGAGUGCAGAGGCUAGAGGGAUUGUUACAGCAAUUACCAAGGAAUGAAAAUAUAUUAGCAAUUCACGAUGAGACUGGUUACAACUUGCUUCAAAAAUGUGUAGGAGCAAAUAAUGUUGAGUUAGUUCGCUGGCUCUUAGCCAGACACAGUGCUGCUGAUGUCAAUAGGUUUCCUUGCAGCUUGCCUCUUCAUAUAGCCUGCUUAAAGGGACAUGAUGAAUGUGUAGAACUAUUGUUAAAGCAUGGUGCCAAAUCAGAUGUGGAGGUUAGAAUGUGUUGGCCAGGUCCUCACAGCAGUAAUUGUGAAGAACGGGGAAAAUAUUCAACUGCAGUCCAACAUGAAGAGACCUGCAUAGAAAGAGAUACUCGAGAGCGGGCGCCCAAUAAUAAACUACAGUCAGCUUUAUAUUAUGCAUUGGAUGGCGAUCAAGUUAACAUAUUGACGAUGUUGUCGCAGAGAGGAGAGGACCCAUGGAAUGGUAUAUUCCGUGCAAGAAAACCCUUACUACAUUCUGCCUGCGAGAGAGGCGCAUGGAAAUGUACAGAGUACUUGAUACGAGAACGUUCAGAUGAGAUACACCUCCUUAAAGAUGAAUAUUACCCCAUCCACUACGCGGUUUUGCAUGACAGCAAAUUUCUGGAACUCUUAAUAGAUCACGGAGCAGACACCACUGUUCGUACUUGCACUCAGCAGAUGACGUUAUUGCAUGUAGUACUGCUCGUGGCGCAUAAGUCAGCUGAAGAUACUAUAGCAACAAUUAGGUUACUACUAGAUCAUGGCUGCAAAGAAUUAAUUAACACACCAGAUAGUCUGGGAAAUACUCCACUACAUGCUCUUAUUGUAAGAUACGCUCUAGAAGAAGCCCAAUAUGGUUAUGACAAAUGGAACAAAUGGAAUAAAUGGGAUAUCCUUCACCUGGUCAGAUACUUAAUACAAAACGGCGCUAGACAAUCGAUAAACCACGCCGGAAAUUCUGCAGUGGCUUGCGUGUUAAGACAUGUUCGCGAUUGGGAUGUUUGUUAUGAAUUGCUCAAUAUGUUACUCAAUGAAGAUGGUGAUCCCAAUAUGGUUGGCCGAGAUGGAUCGGUACCUCUGAUGGUCUGUUUGGUACCUCUUAUAAAUAAAGAUCCUCUACACCAUUUUACCCAUAGUAUGAAGGUUUGUUAUUUAAAUUGCAUUAAAAUUCUUCUAAAACACGGGGCCAAUUCCAAUUGUAGCUACAGGGCUAAUCUGACUCCCCUACAUGUAUUAGUAUUUACUGUGUCAGAAAAUAUAACAUUAAAUUGUAACGUCCAGAAAAGAUUAAACUUUGAAUUCAUUAAAAAUUUGUUGAUACUAUUGUUAAACCACGAUCUAAAUCCCAAUGCGAGAGUUACUAGAAAAACAGAACACAUUUUCCAGAAAUGUAUGGACAUGGUACUGAAUGUUCGAGACUGUAUGGAUCUUCACUACGUGUAUGAUCUUACACUUACUCUCAUUCAAUUUGGAGCCAAUCCUGAUUUGAGCCUCAAUAUGUCGGAAGCUAUCAGGAGGCAUCCCUUACAUUCGCAGAGUAUAUGGAAUACGAAAAACUAUAUUUUGUAUUAUUACAUAACGUUAAUAUCUAGAAAAGAGAAUCUCAUCACUGAUCCCCAUCUUAGUUUUGCUAAAAUUAUUUUGUUGUUUUACUGCGUUAUGCAACACAAGCCUCUGUUUGAGUGCCUAAAGAUCUUAUACACUCAGCAAUUGAGUUUAGUUCCCGGAAAAACAACUGAACCGCUAACUGCCAUCAUCAGAGACCUUUACAAACGACCACGAACUCUCAAACAGAUUUGUCGAGUCAAAAUCCAUAAUUGCUUAGGACGCCGGCCAGGACUUUUCAUCAACAAACUAGAUUUGCCCAAUCAGCUGAAAGAUUAUUUGUUGAAUUUUCAAAUGUAACUGUUAAGAAGGUAGAGAGACGGAGAGAGAAUGAGGACGUAAGAAAUAUAUCUUAUAAUUCUAUCACAAUCUUGUAUAUAGAAGCGUAUAACUUAAAAAUCGCGUUGAGUAUAUAGAGAUUUUGACAGAUACCUGUUGAUAUUUGGCAAUAUUUUAUUCUUUAAGAAAGUUGUUUACUUAGUUAUAACAUUAAUACCCAGAUAUUUUACACGCCAAUGAAGCAAAAGGAACUAAGAAAAGCAUAAGUUAUUAUUUCUUUUUAAUUUAAUCGUUUUUCUUUGCUUAUUUUAGUUCCUACUAAACCAUAAUAUGAAUGUAUUAGUGGUGCCUGGUCAUUUCACAUACUACUACUUUGUCAUUAAAUUUUCACUAAUCCAAUUUAAGAGUGAUACUCUACACGGUAUUACAGGACGUUUAGACGGUUUCACCCCUAUUCAGCGGUCCCCAUAAUCGCGUUCCCCGAUUGAGCGGUCUCAAUACAGCGGUCCCCGUUUCAGCGGUACCCCGAUUCAGCGGUGCCCGAUUCAGCGGUCCCCAUAAAAGCGGUCCCCAAUAGAGCGGUCUCAAUAAGAAAAUAAUAAUAUGAUAAUGAUAAGUAAUUAGUUUUAUUGUAGGAUAUUAUUUUAACCUAUUCUUGUUUGAAAAUAUACAGGUAAUAUCUAAGUAUCUGGUAUAUACCCCAGUUAAUAGGGAAAAAAAUCAUCGAUUUCACGUAAAAAUGUUCUACAGGGUUUUCAAAGUUUUAAACGGUAGAUGAGGGAUAACUGAUGAUAAUUCCAUGAAGACGUACAGCUGAUUUUGCUUUUUUUUUAACAAUUGUAAAGAAUGAAAAAAGCAGUUUUUUGACUAUAAAACGUUUCUUGUACAUUUUAGAGAAAAAUUUUUCAAAUAAAUGUAGAUCUUAAAAAGUUCUUUAAUUUGGUAGUAAGCAUAUUGUAAUAUAUAAACAAUUGAUCGAGAUAAUUGCAAAAAACCCUCAUUUUUCCAGUAAAUUAUAAAUAUUAAUAACUUUACUUUUUUGCGCAAUGACGUAAAAUUUAAUGACUUUAAAUUAUGUCAAUUAAUGAGUUAUUUAAGUGUGCUAAAUUUCAACCAGAUAGACCAAAUAGUUUAUAAGUUAUUCAAUUUGUUUAGCCCAGAGAGCAAUUGUUUAUACAACUGUUCUUGCCCUACAGUGACUCUGUGAGAUAUUUAGCAGAUCGCAGUCGAUUAUUUGAGACUUUAAUUUGAAGACGUAUUAAAAAAUUUUUAACAUUUUAUUGAAAUUGUUAUUAAAAAAACUGUUUGAAAAAGGCCUGACUUUUUAGCUUAUAAACAAUUAGAAUAACUUAGAUAUUUUUUGUGUUCCGUGCUUGCAUGUAGGCUCAGUGAAAAGCUGAUGAAAAAAUGCAUAUAAAAAAAGAAAAAAUAAUUUUAUAUGACAAACAGAAAUGAAGUUAGCAUUUAUUUUUUAAUAAAUCAUAUUUCCGUUGUUCAUACAAACUAAGAGCUGAAAAUUGAACAGAUUGUAUAUGAGAAUCUACAUUUUAUGAUCCAGUUUAUGAACUGCCUAUGCAGUGAAAUAAUAAAAAGUUGUGACCCUUUAAAAUGAUGGAAAAUCAUGGAAAAAUCAAUUGAUUACAUUUUUUUUAAUGAUUGAAUUUUACAAUUAUUUCGUAAGAAUUCUGUAAAUUUUAUUAAAUAAAGUAUAUUAUUAAGAUAAAUAUAUAAUAAAAAAUACACAUUAAAAAAGAAAAAAAUAGUUUUACAUGACCAGUAGAAAUCAAGUUAACAUUUGUUUUUUAAUAAAUCAUAUUUCAAUUGUUUACAAAUAUUAAUAGGUGAAAAUUGAACAGAUUUUAUAUAAGAAUCUACAUUUUAUAAUCUAAUUUAUGGAUUGUAUAUGCAGUGAAAUAAUAAAAAGUAAGGACCCUUUAAAAUAAUGGAAAAUCCCUGAAAAGUAAAUUGAUUACAUUUAUUAUAAAAGUUAUUGAAUUUUACAAUUAUUAUUAUUUUGUAAGUCACUUACACACGUAAAAACAUGUGUAGUUCAUAUGCUGUCAAAGUCAAAGGUGACUUGACAAUUUAUUUUCGGUAUGGUGUGGACUAACUGGAUUAAUCAAUAAUUGUGUUCACAUAUGGAAACCGUGAAAUAAAGUUAACGCUGUGGCAUUUUUUUUAAUGCCUUUUUGCAUUUUGUCAAACAGCCGUUUUAAGUGCAACAAACCGGUGUAAUAUUAGGAACUUUAAAAAUGGGGCGUAGAAAAAGCUCUUUUUGAGUAGUGGUUGUAAAAAAAAUGGAUUUUACUCACUGUUUUUUUGGUGCGGAAAAUGUGAUUUUCCGCAUGCUAGUAGAAAAAAUAUUUUUUUACUUCUAACAAAUUGAUUUGAUAAACCCGCUCUCCCUCUUUUGAUAGGUACCCGCAGAAUCAUCCUAAGUAAAUUGGUUUAUGUAGAAUAAUGUUAUAAAUAUUUAGCCUCUAGGAUAAACCUUUACAAUUUUACAAAAACUAUUGCAUGAAUUAAUUUAAAAAAUAUUUUGAAAAUUAUUUACUAUAUUACCCUACUUUUUAUGCAAUUGCAAAGCAAUAGGGUGAUUUUGUGACAAUUUAUUGUUUAUUUUAUAAAAUUCAUUUUUUAUUGUUAAAACUACUGUCCCCACGAGGGUCCUGUUUUUACUCAUUUUCCUGAACGAUGCCUUUCAAACGGCAUGCUGCAGAACCAAACGCCGGCGCUGCUGAAACGGGUCGGUGGAAUCGAGAACCGCCGAAACGGGGACUGCUGAAAUGGGUACCGCUGAACCGGGGACUGCUGAAAAGGGUCGGUGCAAUCGAGAACCGCUGAAACGGGGACUGUUAAAAUGGGGUCUUACCGUUUAGACAUACAGAGGUAGAACAGUAAUGGUAUGGAGUGGAAUAAUAAUCGGUGGAAGAACGUACCUCGUUUUUCCAGACCGCAUCCUCACAGCUCAGUAGUACCUCGACAUCAUUCUAUAACCUAUCGCUCGUCCGUUUGCUACUGCGGUUGGUCAAAACAAAGAAUACCCCAACCAACCUGUGUUGGGUGUGUAUUCUUUGGUCAAAACUUCCACCUUAUGCAUGAUAAUGCUCGUCCACAUGUCGCACGCGCAGUGACAGACUGGCUUACAAACGACGGACGGUAUCGAUGUGUUGCGUUGGCCAGCACAAUCCCCCGACCUGAAUCCCACCAACCAUGUAUAGGACAUGCUUCAGCGAAAAAUUACUUUACAUAUGGGUAACAUAUACACGCCGUUUCGUUUCCGAGAGCGUCUGAUAGAAGAAUUGGUAAACGUACGUCAACGGGAUAUCGACAAUCGCAUUUUGUCUAUGAACGACAGAUGUAGAGUCGUAAUAAAUCAGGGUGGAUGCCAUACUUUGUAUUAAUUUUGUUUUUGUUUUUAUUUCAAGCAUAUUUUGUGAUGACCAAUUUUUUUUAUUUGUACUUUUCGUUAUUUUUGACAUUUCAACAAUUUUUGUUGUUUAUUAAAUACUAUUAAUCCCUACAAAUCGAUUACUCUUUAUCCAAAAUAAUUAAAGAUAAAUUACAUCUCUUUUUAAAAAUAUACCUAGACUUUUCCGAUGUCUUUAUUUGAAUCUUGUUGCUCAGUUUCGUUUCAUUUUUGACACAAUACAUAUUCAAAAACUUUUCUGUAAUCAAUAAAUACAUUCAUCUCCCCACAUUGUCUCUGAAUCAGUACAUUUAGCUAAAAGCGUUCUUCUGUUCGUGAAACCAAACAGUGCCGAAUCCAUUAGUUGCUUUUUUGUAUAUUCGAGUGUGUCUUAUGUACAGUAACACCUUAAAAACAUCAUAUCGGCCUAACCAUCUCCGUCUGAUAGACAUGACACAAAUUCCUUAAUAACUCAAAAAAUUUUCUAUUUUAUGUUAGAAUUUUCAUAACCGAGUGACCCAUAUGUAAGUGUCUAAAUGUUUGUUUCUAAAGAAAUUAUUGUUAAAUAUUAAAGUAUCAAAAUAAAUAUAAUCGAAUAAAAAAUAUUGAUAUUAGUACGUUACCGUACAAACAUGGACUGUUUUAUAAACAACUUUUUUAGGGAAUACGAAAUUGAAAAAUAUUCUAAGCAGAAAAGUUUGCACUAUAAGUUUUUAGACGAUUAAAAAUUAUUGUUCCUUCUAAUCAUUCAAUAUGUAUUUAUAUUCAUUAGCUAUUAAGAGAAAAUCAGCGUCUAUACCUCGUUUUUAAACUAGGAGGAGUAAUUCAAAUUUACUGCGCCGUCAAAUUGUAAUUGGUCCAACCGCAGGCAAGUUUACACCAUCAACUUUUGACACUAUUGACAUUUAUCAAAUUUUGACACUAAUAGCAUUUGAAAUUGAUAGGUUAAUUGCAUAAAUUAUAUCUGCGGUUUUUUGUGUUUUUUGCGUUAUUCCCUUAAUUUUUAGAUUUUUAGUCUACAUUUAUACAGGGUGUCCCCGAAAAUAGUGCGUUCCUUUAAGGUAUGGAUAUAAUACACAAUGUAGAACAAAAAAGUCCUUUAACAUUUUCUUCUAAAGUUAACCGUUUCCAAAAAAAAUUACAUUGUUCGCCAUAUAAGCAAACUUUUAUUUUCAUAAAAUUAACUAAUUUGGCAUCACUGUACAAGAACUGUUUGUGAUUUAGUUUAUUGACACCACAAAUAUGUAGGUUAGACAGGUACACCUACAAAAUAAUUGUACCACCCCAUGUUUGAAAAUCCAAUAAAACAAGAAUUUGUUUGUUUAGGAUGAAGACAGGGUUUAAUGUAAAUACUUAUGGCUAAAAUUCUGCAACUAUUUUUGAAUUGUGAUUGUCUAUGUUUAGAUUUUUGUAUACAUAGUUGUCAGAUUUCAAUUUGCAUACCAAAAUGUAUUUUGGUUUUUUAGCCAAACAGUUGCAUUUAGAAAAAAAUGUUAUAAGACUUUUUUGCUCUACGUGGUGCCUUCUACCUAUACCUUUAAGGAACUCACUAUUUUCGGGGACACCCUGUAUAAAAAGCGGUUGUUUUUACAAAUUUUUAGCAACAUGUUAGUAUAAUAUAAUAUUUAUGGAUUACCGUCAAGACCGACAUGAUCAACCAAACAUUACUGUGUGUGAUGCUGUCUUGUGAGUUUACUCCUCCUGGUUUAAAAACAGGGUAUAGAGUCAUACUAAUAUUUAAUAAGUUGACAUAAGGGCUUGAUUCCUGCCAAUUUAGAAUGAUUCAUUACAGCGUAAUUGCUAAUGCUUCGCCAUCUCUGGAAAUAAUUCUUGCCAUCUCUUCUUCAAAAGCGUAAAGGAAAGGGUAGACUGUUGAUCAUUGCAGUAAAACAGAUAUGGAAAGAAAACUACUACACAUUGCCUGAAUUAAUGUUUUCAGUUGAUCUACAUCAGUCUAGCUAGACAAAUAAACAAGACCUUGCAUUUUAGAGAGGAAUGGGGAAUAAAAACAAGCAAACCAAGAAUAACCGAUGAGAUGUGUUUGCUCGAGAGAAAAUUUUAAAGAUCCAGAACCUUUCUGUGGUAUCACUGCUGAAGAUUCUACGAAAAGCGAGGUUCAGAAAUGGCUGAUAAGGAAUCAUCAAAAGAAAUGGGGAGCCACUCAAGGGCAAAUCCAGACUAAAAAAAAAUCUCAAGAAUAUUGAUAAAAAAAUUCUCGAACACUGAUGAACCUUAAUAAACGACACAUCAAAACGGUCACUGAAAUGGUGAUUGGACAUUGCCGUUUAAGAAACCACCUAUUCAAUCUAGGUAGGGUGAAUGAACCAUGGUGCAGAAAGUACGAAAUGGGAGAAGAGGCUGCCAUACAUAUGCCAUUGUAGUGUGCUAAGUGAUGUAAGGCAAGAAUUCACUGGUCAACUGAGGUUUGAGACCAGAAGAGAUCCUAAAACUACCAAUAUGAAAACUGUUGGCCUUUGUUGAGGCUACAGAACUUAUUAGAGUUUGAGGAAAAUUGAGGUAUCUUACGACCAAGUUACAGAGACUAAUAAGUCUCACCUGAUUUAAGAAGAAAAAGAAGAGAUGUGUUUGUGGACUGGAAUGCACAGUUGUUAUAGAUUGGUUACUUUAUGUUUAACAAUAAUUUAAUUUAUAAAUCUUAAAUUUCUAAUGGCAAUGGAGAAUAUUUCGAAUGGAAUCGAGAGAGCAGAGGAUUCUAGAACAGGAAAUAUUUACAGACCCCAGGUUGACUCAGCCUGAAUAAAAGUAGUAUAGUUGCCAACAAAUUAUUGCAGCAAAAUCUUAUGUUAAUCUUAUUACAAAUCCAGUUGUAUUUUAGUGGUGUCGUUAAGUUUCGAGAGGUAAACAUACUGAAUAGCACACAUUCAGAUAACGAGGAACUUUGUGAAUGUGGAGAAAUAUAGAAUGUGGAGCACCUGAGAGUAUGCAGACUUUACCCAUCACAGUGCACCCUCGAUGAUUUAUGGCUCGCAAAUAUAAUGGGUGUAGAUGUAGCCCGAUACUGGACAGAAAAACUAUAGUCGGAUCCAGACUCAAAAAAGUAAAGUGAGUACUGAACAGCAGGUAUAAUAAUUAAACGUACAAUAAAUUAACAUUUAUUACUUUCUAGCUGUUCUGGAGACUUAAAGACACCACUCAAAGACAAAUGACUUUGUAAUAAGCUUAAGCUAAGCUUCUGCAGUAACUUGUAGGCAACUAUACCUUGGGGUGUAUAAUCAGGGGUAAUAAUAGGCGGUUAAAGCGUAGCACUGACACUGUUAUCUUUCUUGGAUACCGUAGGCUCUCGAAAUAGCAGACUACCCUGCUAUAAUCGCAAAGCCGCGUUAUCGGUAUAAAAGGGAGACUAUUAUUAUUAUUCUUUAAUAAAAAAUAGAUUUAGAGUGAAAUACGAAGUUGGGAUUUGAGUUUAUGAUCCGUGUUAGAUAGAUACUACUUUCCCCUAAAUAAUGACCAUUCAUCGCUUCUUGACAUUUAUUAUCUUGGCAUAUUAUACUAUGACCUAUUUUAAAUUAAAUUAUAUUUACCUUUAUAAAAAAACUAUUUUGGAAAACUGCAAUCAAAUUAACAACUAAAUGCAAACUUUAAGCUUAGGAUUAUCGUCAUAGUUAUGGCGUUUAUUUAAAUUGUUUUCGAAUCUGGUGUUUCCUGAGAUCAGUUUUAAAUUAAUUAGACAAUCGUUUAAAUACAGGUUAUUAUAGAUUUUACAAAAAUCCAGCCAUGUCGAUGACUAAAUUGCAAUAUUAAAUUUCAGGUGAACUCCAUAGCAGAUAACUCAAAAGGAGAUGCGAGGUUGCCACCACCUUCUGACCGCGUCAAAUAGAAUUUGGCGUUUUCGAUGUACACUGAUUACGAUGUGAGUUACAGGAUGCUAAUGAAAACACGAAAAUGACGCGAAAUAUCAAACAUUCCAAUUUCGGGUAAUUACGAUUCGACAUGGUCAUUUCUAUUCGAUUUGUUAAAAGUUACAGAAUAGGGCUAAAUACAACUGUGGAGAAAUAUUAUUAAAUACAGUAGUGUUAUGGAUUAGAAUCUUACAUUUAAGUAAACAACCGAGGCAAGUUGUAUUGCAUUUAGUUUGUCGAUAUUCAGUUUAAGCAAGGCCGCUUUUAAUGUAUUUAAAUAAUUAAUUAAUCUCGAAAUGAAUCUCAAAUGUUUUAAAAUCUUUUUACUUGAUCUGAGGAAUACCUUACCAGUGAAUGUAGAUAGGUACCUUCUUGUGUUUUUCUAGAGAUAUUAAUAAUUUAGAAAAUAAAUAAAUAUACAUAAAUAUCUUUUGCAUGUUGUGGUGGCAGAUUUGCAGAAUAUAAGUCCUUGCUUGCUUGUUUAUAAGUUGGGCUAACUGGGGCGAUAGUGAAGGUACGAAUUAGUAUUUCAAUAAUGUUAGCAUUACGAUGGUGUAAGUACCACAAGUCGUAGCCACGAAAGAUAGAAUUUUAUAGAAAAAAUAAAAACAUUGUAAUAGAGUAAAUAAUUUUUGUUGAUGAUUUUGAUGAAAUCCUUUCCUUCGAAACCCUUGGUAUACUACAACUCUCAGAUAAUCCAUUGUACACUAUGCGUCAGAGAAAACGGGCACCCCACAAAAUGGGUCAUUUUUGAUGUCUCGAAUUUCCUAAACCUGUUGUCCGAUUUAAGUGACUUUUAUAAUAUGUUAUAGCCUUAUUCUUUAACAAUAUCGCUGUAAUAAUAUUGUUGCUAGACAGGUAAAUUGCCAUUGUAUACCGGGUGUACCAAUUAAUCUGUGUUUUUUCUUAAAGUUCACCACACCCUGUGGAAUAUUCUAGCAUUUAUAAAAUACUGAAAUGAAAACCCAACUAUAGCCUUAGGUUUUCUUAACAUUCUGUUUUUUGAUUCAUUUGCUUAUGUUGGAUAAUAAAAAAGUUACAUACUUUAACAACUAGCCAUGUUCUUCAUCAAUACAGGGAGUUUCUAACUCAGUGCGAAAAACUUGAAGGUGUAAUUCUGCAUGAAAAAAUAAUGACCGUUUGCUUUAUAAACAUGUCCGCAAGUGCUUCUUUUCUGAGAUACGAGAUGUUGAUUUUUUUCUUACAAACUGACGAUUUAUUUAUUGCUCUAAAACCGGUUGAGAUAUGCAAAUGAAAUUUGGUAGGUUUUAAGAGAUAGUUAUUGCACAUUUUUUGGCAUGCAAUAAAGAAUUUUAUAUUCUCCAUUGGCGCGCAUACGGGUCAUAUUACCGGCAGCUCUAGAAUCAAUAUUUAAGAACACAUGUUAUGGGCAUCAAUAUAGAUGAAACAAAUCUAAAUCAUCUGAGCUUUGCAGAUGACAGACAUUGUAUUAAUUGCAGGCAACUUACAAGACACCGUUUCUAUGAUACAUUCGCUUAAAACUCUGUCUGAAAGAGCAGGAUUAAAAAUAAACUUGUGAGAAAACUAAACUUAUGACAAAUCUCGUAAUGAGUGGAAAUAAAACUAGUAACAAUAAUUCCAUACCACAAAUAGACACAAAUAUCUGGGAUACGAGAUCAAAAUAAGCAGAAACAGUCAAACACAUGAAAUACAAAGGCGAAUAGGUCUGACAUGGGCAGAAUUUGACAUACUAAACCAUAUUCUAAAAAGUUCAAUUCCCAUGUGUCUAAAGCGAAAGUUCUAUAACCAGCGUGUCUUUCACGUACAAACAUAUUUAACAGACACUACAAAAAGACCGUUCAAGAGCAAAGCUCGUUCAAGACGUCAUCGAAACAAUCACGACGCUUAAGUGGAACUAGGCAGGGCAUUUAGCUAGAACACAAGACGGACGGUGGAUAAGACUAUUCAUGGAAUGGAGGCCCAGAAACUAUAAAAGAAGCCGAGGACGACUACCGACCAGUGGCGGAUCCGGGGGAGGGCGAUGGGGCGAUCGGCCCCCCCUCUCAAAAUGAUGCUGGAUCCGCCAGUGCUACCGACUAUACUAGAGUAGCGGGAAACUGGCUAUAAGCGGCCCAGUGUAGAACAGAAAGAACUGAGGGAGGUCUACGUCCAGCAGUGGACGCGAUUGGCUGAUUGAUGAUAAUGAUCAGCUCAUAACUUAGUAUAAGCUAAUUUCCUUUCCAGCUUUUUUAGCCUGUAACAAAUUUUUGUUUUAGAAAUAGAUGUAUAAGUUCCUCGAGAUUUCCUAGUCUCUAUAUGCUUUGUAAUGUGAUUUAAGAUGGAAUAGACUCGCUUAGUUCAGUAUGUAAUUUGGACGAUAUUUGUGUGAUUGAAAGAUAUUUUUUAAUGUUCUUCUUUCCAGAACUCAAUUGAUAAUGAUUAAGAGUCUCUCUGUAGUAUAUUUGAUCAUGAAACGUAAGAUAUCUUUCAUCAUUUGUAGUCAGUGAUAGUGUAACAGGUUAUUGGAUGUCGCCUAGGUAGUGUAGCAUAUAAUACUGUCAACAAAAAUUAUUACCUCGGUGUCAAAAUAUAUAUCAGAAAGUAUUUGCAUUUUAUAAAAGAAAAUUCAAACAAAUUAAACUUUAAUGAGUAAAAAGCUUUGUUGAAUAUUUCUCUAGAAAAAUACUGAAAAGUAUCAUUAUGUAAUUAUAAAAAUGUAUAGUUUAUAUUACGUUAUUAUAUUGUGAUUACUGUUAUGGCGAAUUGGUAACCAUAUUUAAAUAAAAAUAUUUAUUAAAAAGUUA